UGUUAACCNCUUUNAAUAGGGANAAGCUCUUCUUUGGGGGUGNCGUUNNUUGCAAAAGAAGCGCCGGCUAAUUCCGUCCCAGCAGCUGCNUUAUUCGUAGGGCGCAAGUGUUAUCGGAAUUAUUGGGCGUAAAGAGCUGGUAGGCGUUUUGUCGCGUCUGCUGUGAAAGACCGGGGCUCACCUCUGUUUCUGCAGUGGGUACGGGCAGAAUAGAGUGCAGUAGGGGAGUCUGGAAUUCCUGGUGUAGCGGUGAAAUGCGCAGAUAUCAGGAGGACCACCGAUGGCGAAGGCAGGUCUGUGGGUUGUAACUGACGUUGAGGAGCGAAAGCAUGGGGAGCGACCAGGAUUAGAUACCUUGGUAGUCCAUGCCGUAAACGUUGGCCAUUAGGUGUGGGGGACAUUCCACGUUUUCCGCGCGGUAGCUACCGCAUUAAGUGCCCCGCUUGGGGAGUCCGCCCGCAAGGUUAAACCUAAAAGGAAUUGACGGGGGCCCGCCCAAGCGGCGGACCAUGCGGAUUAAUUCGAUGCAACGCGAAGACCCUUCCCAAGGCUUGCCAUGGCCCGGAAAGCCCUGGAAACAGGUGCCCCGCUUGCGGCCGGUUUACAGGUGGUGCAUGGUUGUCGUCAGCUCGUGUCGUGAGAUGUUGGGUUAAGUCCCCCAACGAGCGCACCCCUCGUUCUAUGUUGCCAGCGGUUCGGCCGGGGACUCAUAGGAGACUUCCGGGGUCAACUCGGAGGAAGGUGGGGACGACGUCAAAUCAUCAUGCCCCUUAUGUCUUGGGCUUCACGCAUGCUACAAUGGCCGGUCCAAAGGGUUGCGAUACUGUGAGGUGGAGCUAAUCCCAAAAAGCCGGUUUCAGUUCGGAUUGGGGUUUGCACCUCGCCCCCAUGAAGUCGGAGUCGUUAGUAAUCGCAGAUCAGCAACGCUGCGGUGAAUCCGUUCCCGGGCCUUGUACACUCCGCCCGUCAAGU
This 972-nucleotide ribosomal RNA is filed under the name Paenarthrobacter ureafaciens. RNAcentral's name for it is "bacterial SSU rRNA". It matches the Rfam family "Bacterial small subunit ribosomal RNA", at positions 424 to 1402 of the family's 1533-position model. Lineage: Bacteria; Bacillati; Actinomycetota; Actinomycetes; Micrococcales; Micrococcaceae. The record is from RNAcentral.